Long non-coding RNA from Lathyrus oleraceus (garden pea), 1519 nucleotides. RefSeq lists it as uncharacterized. The record is from RefSeq and is a predicted model, not a curated record. The transcript has 4 exons. NCBI's taxonomy places the organism in Eukaryota, Viridiplantae, Streptophyta, Magnoliopsida, Fabales, Fabaceae.
CAUUAUCAAUUAAAUUCCAACACAAUUACCAAAUCUCUAUAAUUAACAAUCAAAGUUAGAUUCUAAAGUCAUUUUAAUUAUACCUAAUCAUUUCUAAUAUUAACCAAUUAUUUCUAAUAUUAACUAAUUAAUUAACACAACUCAAUCUAAUACUACUAAACUAUGCCAAUUAACAAAAGCGAUGGAGGUGGAUCCAUCUCCAAAAACAGCAUGGGCCUGAAAAGUUGCCUAGGGCCCAACCGCGGGAGGGUAUAUGGACAAUGGAGGGAGUAUGUACAUCAGCUGGAAAAAACUUGGGCCUAAAUUGGACUUAAGGCCCAAACCUAGUGGAUAAUAACGCCUGGAUCCUUCCCUCUCACUAAUCAUCGGAGGUCUCUUACCAGAAGAAAAAGAAUAACAAACAAACGUGCGUCGUCCUAGCCAUAGAUUACCGGCGACGGUGCGACCUCGCUCCAUCCCCCACCUCCUAACCUAGCUGAAGCCAGUAAUAAACUCCAAAUAACAAAAUCUAAGACAUCACGAUAUGACUUGGUAACGGCGGAGAUGGAUCAAACAAGAUAAAUAGGCUCCAACUACAACUCACACUACAACAAACUGAUCGACAAGGCAAAAGGAGGAGAGAGCCUAUCGGUGAUGGCGGAGGCGGUCUCGAGUUUGAACGGCGUCGAUUUUGAAUUCAAGCGUUCCACUUCUUGUUCAAUCUUCUACCUUUUGAUUCACUUCGGCGACGACGAAUGGAAGGAGACGAACGCGGCGGCUCCGAUUCAGGUAAUUGAAGGAGUGAGAUUGAAGGUUGUUUGCGGAUCAAUGAAGGUUUGGUUAUAUGAUGGUGAUUGGUACGUGAGUUGAAUCGUGGUGGAAACGAUGGUCGGUUUGUGGUUUGAUGGAGGUUGCGAUCGAGAAUUUGUUACAGUUGGGAAGAAGGUGGUGGAGGAUUCGGUUAGAGGGAAGGAGAAAGAGAGAAGAACGAGUUCUGAACAAAAUUUUCGAGCCAAAUUCAUUGUAGAACCAUGUAUUUAUAGAGAUUUUUGAGGAUUGAACUUGGGUGUAUUUUGAUGUUGCACGUGGCUUUUGGAUGCGUCAUUUCAUGAUGCAUUUUGCCGUUUCUUUCAGCUGGACGCGUUGCGAGCUGCGUUUGCCUUUGCCGUUUAGCACUGGCUUGUGAUUAUUGUUGCGGUUGCGUUCUUUAUUUUGCUGCCGUUUGGAUUGAAGCUUUCUCCAUUAUAUUUAGGUAGCUUGUACUUUUGGAUGCAGCUCAAGUGUUGCCUUCGUUUUGGCUUGUCGGCGUUUACGUGCAGCUGGGAGUUUUGUAGCAGCUUUUGCCGUUGUUUUGUAUCAGCUUGGACUUGCUAGCGGCUUGUUUAUGCACUUAUAGCUUAUAAUUUCCGUUAACUUUCACUGCCAGCUUGUAUUCAAUUUGGUUGCUCAUGGCUUGUGAGUUUCAUGUUUGUGCCUUGUUGUAGCUGCUUGUGCCAGCUUCUAUAGCAGUAGCUGCACUUCGCGUUUGCAGCUUUGGAUA